Non-coding RNA from Lupinus albus (white lupine), 167 nucleotides. NCBI's taxonomy places the organism in Eukaryota, Viridiplantae, Streptophyta, Magnoliopsida, Fabales, Fabaceae. The record is from the annotation of a GenBank genome assembly.
UGAUGAACAUGUUUUCUUUUUUGUUUUGAACAGAAAAGGAAAUGUUUUUAUUAAUUGGAAAUAUUGUUUGUGUUGUAAUUGGGCAGCGGCCAGACAACCGUAGUGAUGGUAUCCACAGGUGGUGGGUUUUUUCACUCUCAUUCGUCUACUGAUUCCAUCUCACAUUU